RNAcentral lists this long non-coding RNA (919 nucleotides) under Carica papaya (papaya). RNAcentral describes it as "long non-coding RNA (CPAP_LNC015314)". The record is from RNAcentral. Lineage: Eukaryota; Viridiplantae; Streptophyta; Magnoliopsida; Brassicales; Caricaceae.
GCCGCAACUUUAAAGCCACUGAAGUGUACUUCAAUAUGAAAUUGGUCUUUCUUUGAAAUUAAUGAACAAGUUUCAUUUUCUUUUUAAAAAUGGAUUGAACCAGCAAGUUCAUUUACAUAUGAAUUUUAUUUUGAAGUAAACAAGGAAAUGUGGAAAUACUUUCGUGAAUUAAGUCAUUACAUUUGAAACAAGAGUGUAAAAGUCAUUUCAAUAUUUCAUUCAUUCCAUUGUAUUUCGUAGAAUCCUAAAUGUAUUUGUUCAAUAUUUAAAUAUCAAAUGUAGAUUAAAACUUAAAUUUGGUUUUCUUUUUCUGUGAAUUAACUAGUAUCCAAACAGGGUGCAGUAUGUGUGGCUUGAUUAGUAACAUUUUUGGUUGUAAACCUUGUUUAAAUGUAGGUAUUCAAAGAGGCUGAUACAGGCUGUUGAGGAUGAUGGAUUGGUGAACCAUGCUUUGGUGCGGGAUCUAGAUGAAGAUGCAAAGCGGUUGGAACAGUUUGGUGCUGAACUUGAAGUUGAUUGAGUGUGUAGUAAUCAUAUAAAUUUAAAUGGUGUUCAGCUUAGAUUUAAAUGAUACAGCAAUUCAUAAGCUUAUAUAGCUUUAUGAAAUUUGUAAGGUUUUUCCGUAGUUUAAAGUUACACUCUUUUAAUUCAUAAAUUUUUAAGAAAAGGUUUACUGAACCCUUUUUUUUGUUUCUAUUUUAUCCAAAAAAAAUGUGAGAAAAUAUUUUGAACUUUUAAAUGGAGCAAAUUGAAGAACUUUAUUGCAAUUUGGGUAGAAUAAUGAACCUAUUAUUUCUUGAGAGCAACAAGUUAUAUAUUUUUUUAAUUUUAAAUUUACAGUGCGUGUAAAGAGACUUUUUUAAUUUAUGUUUUUACAUGAUGCAUUGCUCUUCGCAUUUUAGCAUUGCUUCUUCUUCGC